UACAGAGGGUGCGAGCGUUAAUCGGAAUUACUGGGCGUAAAGCGUGCGUAGACGGUUAUUUAAGUCAGGCGUGAAAGCCCCGGGCUCAACCUGGGAACCGCGCUUGAGACUGGUGCGCUAGAGUUCGGGAGAGGAUGGUGGAAUUCCCAGUGUAGAGGUGAAAUUCGUAGAUAUUGGGAAGAACACCGAUGGCGAAGGCAGCCAUCUGGACCGACACUGACGCUGAGGCGCGAAAGCGUGGGGAGCAAACAGG
Molecule: ribosomal RNA, 253 nt
Filed under: uncultured bacterium
Lineage: Bacteria
Description: partial 16S ribosomal RNA
Rfam family: Bacterial small subunit ribosomal RNA
Source: RNAcentral